GGGUUGUUGGUGUAGUCCGGCUCAGCAUAUGGCACUGUCUAUGCCGUGACGGGGGUUCAAAGUCUCCACGGUUGCGUGGAGUAUGGAAAUCCCUCACAACCCGCCA
RNAcentral lists this transfer RNA (106 nucleotides) under Candidatus Freyarchaeota archaeon. RNAcentral's name for it is "tRNA-Asp". Lineage: Archaea; Promethearchaeati; Candidatus Freyarchaeota. The record is from RNAcentral. RNAcentral also lists the same sequence under 1 other name.